This 499-nucleotide ribosomal RNA is filed under the name uncultured bacterium. RNAcentral describes it as "bacterial SSU rRNA". It matches the Rfam family "Bacterial small subunit ribosomal RNA", at positions 791 to 1296 of the family's 1533-position model. The record is from RNAcentral.
UAGUCCACGCCGUAAACGAUGGUCACUAGCUGUUCGGACUUCGGUCUGAGUGGCUAAGCGAAAGUGAUAAGUGACCCACCUGGGGAGUACGUUCGCAAGAAUGAAACUCAAAGGAAUUGACGGGGGCCCGCACAAGCGGUGGAGCAUGUGGUUUAAUUCGAUGAUACGCGAGGAACCUUACCAGGGCUUAAAUGUAGAUUGAUAGGUUUAGAGAUAGACUUUUCUUCGGACAAUUUACAAGGUGCUGCAUGGUUGUCGUCAGCUCGUGCCGUGAGGUGUCAGGUUAAGUCCUAUAACGAGCGCAACCCCUAUCGUUAGUUGCUAGCAGGUAAUGCUGAGGACUCUAGCGAGACUGCCGGUGCAAACCGUGAGGAAGGUGGGGAUGACGUCAAAUCAUCACGGCCCUUACGUCCUGGGCUACACACGUGCUACAAUGGUAUGGACAAUGAGCAGCCACUAUGCGAAUAGGAGCGAAUCUAUAAACCAUAUCACAGUUCGG